CUUCGCUUGGCCGAAAGUGGUGAACUUCCGAAUUUGGUUUUCUCCGAUGAGAAAACAUUCGUUAUCCAGCAGUUCCUAAACAAACAAAAUGAUCGUGUUUACUUGCCAAAGAGGUCAACUGAAAAUUUACACCUUCGGUUGGCCGCCAGAACUCAAGCGCCAGCCAUGGUGAUGGUGUGGGCCGCCAUAACAGUCGAUGGUCGCUAUCCGCUCGUAUUAAUCGACCGUGGCAUCAAAAUAAAUGCAGAAUAUUAUCGCGAAAUUACUCUUGGGCACGCAAACAUUUUGGCUGCAGACCUUGGACAUACCAACGGAACUCAGCUCUAUCGCACUCAGCACACGCCACCCAAGAAUGGUUACAAAAUGAGGUUCCUCUAUUCAUUCCCAUCGCACAAUGGCCACCAAAAUCUCCGGAAACCAAUCCGUUGGACUAUUGUUUCUGGAGUAUUUUAGAGAGCAAGGUUGGCACUAAAAAAAUACCAAAUUGUCGAUCACCUCAAGCAAGCGCUUCGCCGGGAAUUGGCCAAAAUACCGCAGAGCAACAUUCGUGAUGGUGUCUGACGGUUUCAUUGGCCGUUUGAAGGCCAUAAUUCGUGCUAAAGGUGACCAAUUCGAACAAAUCUAAACUUAUUCUAAAAUUUGAUGCUAUUUCCGACAUUUUUUGUUUUU
This is a long non-coding RNA of Musca vetustissima, 669 nucleotides long. RefSeq lists it as uncharacterized. The record is from RefSeq and is a predicted model, not a curated record. Lineage: Eukaryota; Metazoa; Arthropoda; Insecta; Diptera; Muscidae. The transcript is spliced from 2 exons.